UGCCAGACUCCUACGGGAGGCAGCAGUGGGGAAUAUUGCACAAUGGGGGAAACCCUGAUGCAGCGACGCCGCGUGAGUGAAGAAGUAUUUCGGUAUGUAAAGCUCUAUCAGCAGGGAAGAAAAUGACGGUACCUGACUAAGAAGCCCCGGCUAACUACGUGCCAGCAGCCGCGGUAAUACGUAGGGGGCAAGCGUUAUCCGGAUUUACUGGGUGUAAAGGGAGCGUAGACGGCGAUGCAAGCCAGAUGUGAAAGCCCGGGGCUCAACCCCGGGACUGCAUUUGGAACUGUGUGGCUGGAGUGUCGGAGAGGCAGGCGGAAUUCCUAGUGUAGCGGUGAAAUGCGUAGAUAUUAGGAGGAACACCAGUGGCGAAGGCGGCCUGCUGGACGAUGACUGACGUUGAGGCUCGAAAGCGUGGGGAGCAAACAGGAUUAGAUACCCCAGUAAUA
This 449-nucleotide ribosomal RNA is filed under the name uncultured bacterium. RNAcentral describes it as "bacterial SSU rRNA". It matches the Rfam family "Bacterial small subunit ribosomal RNA", at positions 329 to 795 of the family's 1533-position model. The record is from RNAcentral.